UUGAGUUACACAACUCCCAAACCCAUGUGAACCUUACCUGUCGUUGCUUCGGCGGACCGCCCCGGGGCCCAUCGCGGCCCCGGAUCCACGGCGCCCGCCGGGGGACCCGAAACACUCUUGUUUUUUUCUACGCAGACUUCUGAGUGGCAUUUAUUACAAAUAAAUCA
RNAcentral lists this unclassified non-coding RNA (167 nucleotides) under uncultured Fusarium. RNAcentral's name for it is "sequence contains ITS1". The record is from RNAcentral. Lineage: Eukaryota; Fungi; Ascomycota; Sordariomycetes; Hypocreales; Nectriaceae.